This is a long non-coding RNA of Acanthochromis polyacanthus (spiny chromis), 669 nucleotides long. RefSeq lists it as uncharacterized. NCBI's taxonomy places the organism in Eukaryota, Metazoa, Chordata, Actinopteri, Pomacentridae. The record is from RefSeq and is a predicted model, not a curated record. The transcript is spliced from 2 exons.
GUGGUGUCCUCCUUGGUCGUCUCCCGUGAAGUCCACUUUGGCUCAAACAACGACGAAUGGUGCGAUCUGACACUGAUGUACCUUGGCCUUGGAGUUCACCUUUAAUUUCUUUGGAGGUUGCUCUGGGCUCUUUGGAUACAAUUCCAACGAUCCGUCUCUUCAAUUUGUCAUCAAUUUUCCUCUUGUGGCCACGUCCAGGGAGGUUGGCUACUGUCCCGUGGGUCUUGAACUUCUGAAUAAUAUGAGCCACUGUUGUCACAGGAACUUCAAGCUGUUUAGAGAUGGUCUUAUAGCCUUUACCUUUAAGUUGUUUGUCUAUAAUUUAUUUUUCGGAUGUCCUGGGACAAUUCUCUCCUUCGCUUUCUGUUGUCCAUGUUCAGUGUGGUACACACCUUUUCACCAAACAGCAGGGUGACUACUUGUCUCCCUUUAAAUAGGCAGACUGACUGAUUAUGAGUUUGGAAACACCUGUGAUGUCAAUUAAAUGACACACCUGAGUUAAUCAUGUCACUCUGGUCAAAUAGUUUUCAAUCUUUUAUAGAGGUACCAUCAUUUUUGUCCAGGCCUGUUUCAUUAGUUUGUUUUUUUUAAUGAUUAUGUUAAUCAACAAUUCAAAAGUAAUGGCUGUUUUUGAUUAUUUAAUUUUCAAUAAAUUUUUAUUUAUUGUUA